CCUACGGGUGGCAGCAGUCGAGAAUCAUUCACAAUGGGGGAAACCCUGAUGGAGCGACGCCGCGUGGGGGAAUGAAGGUCUGCGGAUUGUAAACCCCUGUCAUGAGGGAGCAAAUUAAAAAGAUAGUACCACAAGAGGAAGAGACGGCUAACGCGGUGCCAGCAGCCGCGGUAAUACAGAGGGCUCAAGCGUUGUUCGGAAUAACGGGGCGUAAAGGGGGCGUAGGCUGUUUCGUAAGUCGUGUGUGAAAGGCGCGGGCUCCACCCGCGGACGGCACAGGAUACUGCGAGACUAGGGUAAUGGAGGGGCAACCGGAAUUCUCGGUGUAGCCGUGAAAUGCGUAGAUAUCGCGAGGAACCCUCGUGGCGAAGGCGGGUUCCUGGACUUUACCUGACGCUGAGGCACGAAUGCCUGGGGAGCGAACAGGAUUAGAUACCCCUGUAGUC
This 446-nucleotide ribosomal RNA is filed under the name uncultured bacterium. Its description in RNAcentral is "partial 16S ribosomal RNA". It matches the Rfam family "Bacterial small subunit ribosomal RNA", at positions 338 to 795 of the family's 1533-position model. The record is from RNAcentral.